RNAcentral lists this long non-coding RNA (15604 nucleotides) under Olea europaea (common olive). RNAcentral describes it as "long non-coding RNA (OEUR_LNC011891)". Lineage: Eukaryota; Viridiplantae; Streptophyta; Magnoliopsida; Lamiales; Oleaceae. The record is from RNAcentral.
UUUUCUACUCUUCUAAUCUACUAAAAACUAAAUGAGAGCAAUUUAUCAGUAAGUUCAUCAUUGAUGUCUCAAGAAGAGACGAAGUUAACACGAUUAACUGGGAUUUGAACUAGCUCUCGAGCUACAUCCUUUAUUUCAAGCACCCCUCCAUCUUUAAAUUUUGAUAGCAAUCGAGCAGUCUCUUCUUUAGUCAUCAAUAUCUUCACUUUAGUCCUAGAUAAUUUCUUCUUCUCGACAUGUCCACUACGAGUCGAAUUGUUCCUACUUUCUUCUCUUUCUAGUAAUGGCUUUGGUUCAAUUUCAAAGUGUACCUUUUUUCUCACCUUAAGAGUCAAGGGCUUCUUGUUCAACUCAUCUCUGUAAAUAUAGUGUGGCACGUCUGGUUUUUUACGAAAUUGAAUUUCAGACAUUUUUUUUAUGAGGUAAAGGAGUGGAAAAAGAGAGAAUAUUGAAUAUUCGAUGGAGGAUGUGUAGAAAUAUGCAUUACAAGUCCAUGUAUAUAAUUUCGUGGUGAGACUAUGGCAUGGAGUGCAAUUUGGGAGCAUGGACCAAGUCUUUGAUGUUUUUGUUCAGUCAAUUAAAUUAUGCCAGUUAACCCUAGAAAACCAAGAAAGACGCAAGAGAAUAGGUAAACAAGAAAAGGAUUGAAAGCUCCAAUUUUGGUAGUCUUUGCAGUUGAAAACAGCAAAGGAUUCCGAAAAUCAAGCUCAAAGAUUAGCCGGCAAGGUCGAGUCUCUUCAAUUUCCCUGGAGAUGGCCAGUGACACCAUGGUUUGCCUUUAAUUUGAUGAAUUUGUUGAAUCAUCUCAUUUAUAAGACAUCAUAUAUUAAAACUUGUAACACAAGGUGCCAAACAUGUACAUCAUUUAUACGAGGGAUUUUGCUAUUUGUAGAGAAAAAUAGCUAGAAAAAGUGACAGAAAUGAUGUGAAGUAAAAAGAUUAGAUGAAAAAUAAGAUAGAUAAAGCAUAAACCUACUACUCGUAAAAAAAACUACGUCACUUCCUUCCCUAGCGUUUAGUGGGACCUCCCAAGUCGAAAGUCCGACCAAAGGCCUACAAGGAGUGGCGGACACAGACGUUUUAAAUUGGUGGGGCACAAUCGAACUUGAAAAAAAUGCAGACUCAUGUUAAAUGUCACCAAGUUUGUCAUCAUUUUUAUUUCCAACAUCAUUUUCAUCAUUUUUAUCUCGUGAUCUUCAAAAGAAAACGUAUAUUUACGUUUAAAUUAUUUUUCCAUCACAAUCAAUUCAAGUGAAAAGUACAAAAUCACAACAAUUCUCAAUGUUACAUCAUCAAUCGCACUCCAGUCCAAACAAAGACAAAAAUUACAGCAAGAAUCCAUUACCAUAAAAUCGCCAAAACAAAAUAAAAAUUAGAGUGUUUAAGUGAUCCCCAAUUUCAUUUGAUAAGAAAAACAAAAGAAAUAAUCAAAAAGAAAUAAUUUCCUCAAAAAAGAGGCAUAUAACUUUUCAUGGAUGAAUCUUUCACAUUCUUUAAAAAAUUAAAAUUUCAUUCAAAGCUUUUAGAUUUUUUGGGGUCACGUUCUUCUGCUUCAUAUCUGAUUUCUUUUAAUAAAAAAACAAAAAUAAAAUAAAAAUAAAAAUAAAAAAUUGGUGGGUCAAGUGACCCACGAGGACCCACCGUGGGUCCGCUACUACCUGCAGGCCAAAAGAUCAAGCUGAACUUAGGUAUCUAUAUCGACUCAACCUAUUGACACCCCUAGGCUGUCCCAACUUUAGAACAUGACACAGGAUCAUUUCAUAUAUUUUUCGUCUUUAAUCAUGUAUCUCUUAUUUAAAUAUGAUAUUGCGCACUAAACAUGUUUACUUAGAAGACCUUAAAUAAUUGCUGAAGAUAAUAUUUAGUAAAAUAAGGCAAAAUAAGCAGCAGGAUAUGAAAAGCAGGGGCAAGCAAUAAAAAGGACAGUUUUGCUAGAAAAAUAGGUUCAUUGAUAGGGUUUUUUGACAUGCAUAUACUUGACAUAUUUUCAUUGGCAAUUGAAAGAAAAAUUAAUCAGAGAAUUGCCAAUUAAAAACUGUCAAAUCAAAUCCUGGAAAAAGGCUCUUUCACUCAGCUUGUUUCUUCUGCUUUUUCCUAAAAAAGAUAGUCCCUCGUACUUUUGCGCGAUGUUCCGUAGGUACUUUUUUUGGAAUCUCUCUCAAUAUGUGUGCAAAAUAUGUAAGCUCAUUCCCUUCGUGCUCACGACCGACUGGUUUGCCAGUGAUAGUGAAAAUUCUCUCGUUGCUUUAAAGACUUUUACUUGGUCUUAAUUACUUAAAUUUAUUUUAAGUGGAACCUAUUACAAUUUAACUAAAUAUAAUAAAUAACUGUGGUCAUUUUCUCUCAUAUCAAUAUCAUAGUUAAUUUUCCAACGGAUUACAUUUGACUAGUGUUAAUGAUAAAAUUAAAACGCGUCUUCACUUGUGUAACUUGAGCUUUGACGAGUCAUCGGACCAGACAAUGGGUUCAUAUGUUGAAAUAAAUUGAACGCUAUCCAUAAUUGCUAUAUAUUUACUUUAUUGUGCAAAUUCUUGUACAAAUACAGUUUUAUCCCUGACUUUUAGAUAGCAUUACGAAAAACGUCGAUUUAGUUAAAAUUUCAUAUUCAAAUUAAAAAAUAUUAAGUGGUUUGAUGAUUUUACCUUGUAACUUCAGUUCAUAUGAAUUAUUGUUCAUAUUGUCGAUUUCGAACGUAAGAACUCAAAGUCUCAAUCUCAUAAAUUCAAAAAGAUUUGGAAAGUCAAAAAUUCACUUUUGAAAAUUGACAAGCUUUUUCCACACUUUCUAAAAAGUUUGGGAGUGGAGCCCUAAUUUUUCCAAUGAUUGCAGUGCCAACUGAUGAAAAUAAGUAUAUCACUUUUUUUUCUGGCCCAUUUUAAUAUCCAAAUUUGUAUAUAUUGGGUUCGAUUAGCAACAACCUAAUUACAGUCAAGGUUAUAAAUGGUGUUAGGCAUGGAGGCCAAACCUCGAGUCUUAUGAGCCGAGAAAUAGUAAAAUAUUUUUUUUUCUAUUUUUAAUAUCAUUUUAAUUAUUUUAUACCAAUAAAUAAAAAAAUACUGCAUACCUUGAAAAUUUAUGAAUAAUGCAAUUUAUUUUCAUUAGAUAUGAUCAUCAAUCUAUGUGUCAAGUGAUGCGCUAUGAAAUAAAGGUCAAUGAAAUGUAUGACUAUGCUACACACUUUUUGAGUUAUCAUUUAGUGUCAUAUAGUUUGAUGAUAUCUCUAAUGAAGACAUAGUAUGACUCAAAAUGUAUCUUAGUUAGCCACAACGAUCUGGUCGAUAGCUACUAAGAACUAAAUGAGGACAGUUCAAUAAGGGUCUGUUUGAUUAUAAGGAGAGAAUUUGGGUGGAAAGAAAACAAAUUUCAGGGAAUUGAAUUGCUUAGAACUGUUUUUUUGGGAAUUGUCAAUUAUUGUGUUUAAUUGGUAUAAUUUUUCACUUGAAAAAUGUUGAAAUUUUGGAUCUUUUGGUAUUCGUUUAACUUUAUUUUUUAUGAAAAUUGUGAAUUAAAGAGAUAUAUAUAUUUUUUAAAAUUGCAGAUAAAAUUUAUUCCCACUGAUGAAAAUAAAAAAAAAUAAAAAAUAAAAAAAGUAAAGCCGGGGGUGAGAAUUGGUUUUCCACCAAUUCAUGGAAAAUGCACACGUGUGGGGAAAAAGAUGGAAAAUGAAUUUCAUAGAAAACUUUUGCUAUUAAACAACAAAAAAGUUAGAAAAUGGAAAAAUUUUCCAUGGAAAAUAUCCCAUAUCAAACAGGCUCUAAGUUCAUCCUCAAAGUUUCAAUAGGAGACGAAGUUAACACGAUUAACAGGGAUUUGAACAAGUUCUUGAGCUACAUCCUUGAAUUCAAGCACCCUUCCAUCUCUAAAUUUUGAUAGCAAUCGAGCAGCCUCUUCUUUAGUCAUCAAUAUCUUCACUUUAGUCCCAGAUAAUUUCUCCUUCUCGACAUGUCCACAACGAGUCGAGUUGCUUCUACUCUCGCUAUUCUUCUCACUUUCUUCUCUUACGAGCAAUGGCUUUUGUUCAAUCUCGAAGUGUACCUUUUUUCUCACCUUAAGAGUCGAGGGCUUCUUGUUCAACUCAUCUCUAUAAAUAUAGUGUGGCACUUCUGGUUUUUUAUGCGAUUGACUUUCAGACAUUUUUUGAUGAGGUAAAGGAGUGAAGAAAGAGAGAAUAUUGAAUGGAGAGACGUGUAGAAAUAUGCAUUAUGAGUCUAUAUAUAAAAUUUCGUGGUGAGACUAUGGCAUGGAGUGCAAUUUGGGAGUGUUGACCAAGUCUUUGAUGUUUUUGUUCAGUCAAUUAACUUAUGCCAGAUAACCCUAGAAAACCAAGAACGACGCAAGAGAAUAGGUAAACAAGAAAAGGAUUGAAAGCUCUGGUUUUGGUACUCUUUACAAUUGAAAACAACAAAGGAUUCCAAAAAUCGAGCUCAAAGAUUAGCCGGCAAGGUCGUGCCUCUUUGAUUUCCCUAGAGAUGGCCAGCAACACCAUGGCUUGCCUUUAACUUGAUGAAUUUGUUGAAUCAUCUCAUUUAUAAGACAUUAUAUAUUAAAACUUAUAAUACACGGUGUCAAACAUGUGCAGCAUUUAUAUGAGGGAUUUUGCUUUUUGUAUACAAAAACAGCUAGAAGAAGUGACGGAAAUGAUGUGAAGGAAAAAUAUUGAAUAAAAAAGUUGAUCGUUUUUUAAAACUGGCAAAUGAUAAAGUACCAUAUGACAUUAUGUAAGACAUUAUGUUAAGUCUUGAUUUACAUGUAGCACUGUCCUUAAAUGAGUUGCAUCACUUUUAGAGUGUGGUCUAAUAUUAUAUUGAAUUAUUUCAUGUAAAAGUUUAAGUUGUGAAAGAAAUUCAAAUUACUUCAAUUUAAGAUUCAACAAAACAAUGAAAUUCAAAUACCAAAAAUAUUUUUUUAUGGAAAUUUAACUAAUUAAUUGGUCGUUUUCUGUCAUGUUGAGAGCUUAAUUUUUCAUUAUAUUAAAUUGGAUGACUUCGUCUUAUAUCUGUAACUUGAACUUGACAAUUUGAUUUGAUUUAACGAGAUUGAAUUGAAUGGUAGACCACAAAAAAUGAAAUACAAAGAAAUAUUUAUGUUGAUGGAAUCAUUUAGCUAAUUGCCCUUAAGAAAGAAAAUAUACCAAUAAAAAUGGGUCAAGCCGUCAAGCUGCUCACGGGCUCGGUUCAAUCCAUGGGACUCAUGGAUCGGUUAGUUUUAUUUCCUCAUUUUUUGAUUUGUUAUACUAAUUUCUUAAAAUAAUUGCUUUUUUUUUUUUUUUUUUUUUUUAUUUAUUAAAUAAUUUCUUUUUUUUUUUUUUUUUUUUCAUUCAUUACUAAAAGGGGGAAAAAAAGAAAAGAAAAAGAAUUGACUCAUAAGCAUAUUGAGAGAGAGAGAGAGAGCAGGAGAACCUGCUCGAGAGACCUACAAGCUCUUUCGCAUCGUGCUCACAGCCCGACUGGCUUGCCAGUGAUAGUGAAAAUUCUCUUGUUGCUUUAAAGACUUUUACUUGGUCUUAAUUACUUGUUAGGGCCCGUUUAAUUCUCAUUUUCUAAGAAUGAAAAUGAAAAAUAUAAUCGUUACAAGACCUCAUAUAAGAAAUAAAAAAUCAUAUAUGGUGACUUAAUGUGAUGGAUAACGAUCAUAUUUUUUUAUUUUUGUGGCCAAAAAAUAAUAAUCAAAGGGGGCUUAAAUUUAUUUUAAGGGUUCGAAUCCUAAAAUAUGAAUUUGGCUCUUGGGUAAGUGCAAGUGUACAAGCAGCCUUCCAUCCUGUACCUUUAAAGGCAUAACUUGCGAUUUACCUCCCUCACGAUACUCCAGGGCAGGGGCGGUAGGGGACCCUUAAGGUUGGAGUUCAACCUUUUUUUUUUUUUUUUAAUAUCAAUAUCAUAGUUAAUUUUCCAACGGAUUACAUUUGACUAGUGUUGAUUAAAAAAUUAAAACGCGUCUUCACUCGUGUAACAUGAGCAUUGACUACUCAUCAGACCAGACAACGGGUUAAUUUUUUGAAAUAAAUUGAAUGCUAGCCACAAUUGCUUGCUUUAUUGUGCAAAUUCUCGUACAAGUAGGCCCCGUUUGAGCCUCAUUAUUUCUCAUUACAUUAAAUUAAAUUUUUUUCUUUCCUACUUUUAACCCAAUAAUUUCAAUAGAAUAAUAUGACACGUAAAUAAAAAACUUUUCAACCACUCAUUUUUAAAAAAAAUACUAUUCAUCUAAUUAUAAUUUACAAAUAAUGAGGCUCAAACGGCCCCUUAGCAUUACGAAAAUCGCUGAUUUGAAAGUUAGAAUUUCAUAUUCAAAUUAAAAAAUACUAAGUGGUUUGAUGAUUUUACCUUGUAACUUCAGUUCAUAUGAAUUAUUGUUCAUAUUGUUGGUUUCAAACGUAAGAACUCAAAGUCUCAAUCUCAUAAAUUCAAAUAGAUUUGGAAAGUCAAAAAUUCACUUUUGAAAAUUAACAAGCUUUUUCAACACUUUCUAAAAAGUUGGCGAGGGGAGCCCUAAUUUUUCCAAUGAUUGCAGUACCGACUGAUGAAAAUAAGUUUGGUGGAAAUACACAAUACCCUAUUUUUAAAAUUUGCAUUUCAUAAAUCAUAUUUUAAGGGGAGUGUAUUCAAUUGGAACUUUUAAAAACUUUGAUGGACUUUUUUUAAGUGAUGACUUUUGUGGAUUUCAUGGAUCUUUCACAAAUUUGUAUGGAUGAAGUCUUUCGUAGACUUCUAUGGACUUUCAUUUUAAAAUUUUUAUAGAUUUUUGUAGAAUUUGAAAGACUUUUGAAGACUUUCAUUUGAAAUAGAAUUCAUGUGAAUCUAGUGCAAUGGUGUGAAAUUCUUAUAUACGAGAUGUUAGUUCUCACAAUUUUCCUUCUUCACAUAUAAUAAAAAAUUUUAGACCUUAAUUAAAUAAAUAAUAAUAAAAAUUAUACAUAUAUAUGAUUCAAUAUUAUUAGUAUAGUAUACUUUUAAAGAUAAAUAUAUUUAAUUAUACAAUUUUUCAUAUUAAAUUCUAUAAUUCAUUAAAAAAAUAGAUAAUUUCACAAAAAAUGAAUGAGAAAAGAAAAAAAAAAUCCUACAAGAAUCAAAUUUAAUUUUUUUCAUAGAAAGUAGCGAUAAAUAAUAAGAGAGAAAGAAAUAUAAAUGAAAAUAAAUAUAAUCAAUAAAAAUAAAUAAAUUUUAAUCAUAUAUGUCCAUAAAAAUUUAAAAGAAAAAAAGAUUGAAAAAAAUUGUGAAAGUCCCUCAAAAUCUUGUGAUUAAUGAGAGACAAAUUUUAAGAUUUUAUAUGAGUACUUUCUGUUUAAAAGUUAGUACUCGAGAGACUUUUAUAAAAGUAUCUAAAAGUCAUUAAAAUUUAAAUGCCCCAAGACUUAUAGAGAUUUCUAAAAAGUUUUAAUUGAAUACAUCGUAAUUUUUAGAGACUUUUUAAAAGUUUAUGAAAGUCUCAAUUAAAUACAUGUGAUUUUUAGAGACUUCUUAAAAGAAAAAGUUUCAAUUGAAUACACCGUGACUUUUAGAGAGUAUCAAAAAGUCUCAAUUGAAUACCCCUAAACUUUUUAAAUCAAUUCAUCCCCAAAUUAAUCUCUCUCUGUCUCUCUCUCUCUCUCUCUGUCUCUCUCUCUCUCUCUCUCUCUUUUCCCAUUUUUUUCUUUUCUCCGGUGACUAGUGUAGUGUUGCCUCAUGCGAUUGAGGCGUGGUGGAGUCCAACAAGAAGUGACUGGAUUUGGUUGUAAAAAUUAAGAUGGAGUUUGAGUAGAGCAGUGGUGGAGUUCGGCCGACAAGGCUUACCAGAUUUCUGUCACAUAUCUGAAUUUGUGGUGGUUUGCAAUGGUUUCAUGGUGGUCAGGGAAAGCAGUGGUAGAGUCCAGCCGGUGAGGCUUAUCAAAUUUCAGUCACAUAUCUAAAUUUUGUGGUUGUUUGGAAUAGUUUUACAGUUUUUGUGGCAGAUAUGUGGUAGCUUUUGAACCAAUUUGUGGUGGUUUAUGGUGGCAGCGACAAUGGUUGCAUGUUUAUAGAGCGUGUCAAAUGUUGUGUUGACAUCUAGUGGUGUAGUGGUAGUGAUAGAUCACAAGUUUUGGGUGUGUUUUUGGGUUGGUAGGUGGGGAAAAUGGUGGUAGUGUUGGUGCUCGUGGCGGUGGUGUUUGGAGCUUUGCUGGAUUCAAUGAUGGUGGAGGUAUGUUGGAUUUGGUGGUGGAUGUGGAUUUGUUGGUGGCGGUGGUUGUAGAUCUUGGUUGGUGGGGACGGUGGCGGUUGCAGAGGUGAUGGUGUUUGAGAUAAUGGUUUUGUUGCCCGGAUUAUGAAUACUGUAGUUGUGGCUGUGGAUUGUGAUGGUGGCCGUGUUGGUGGUGGUUAUAAAUUAUUUAAUUGAUUGUGACCAUUAAAUUGGUUAAUCUGUAACCAAUAAACAAUAUUUGACCAAUAAAAAAUAUAAAUUGUGACAAAAAAAUAACGUGUGGCUUAAAAAAUUGUUAAUUUGUAACCGAUAAUUUGAUAAUUUGUGACUGUUAAUAUUUGUGAUUUGUAACCAAUAAAUAAAUCGUGACUUAUGAAUUUUUUGAUUUGUGACCGAUGAACAAAUUGUGACUUAUAAAAAUUUUGAAUUGUGAACGUAAAAUAAUUUGUGAUAUAAAAUUUCUGAUUUGUGAUUGAAAAAUAAUGUGACUAACUAAAUUGUUAAUUUGUGACCAAAUUGUAUAGAUCUGUGACCUAAAUAUAUGUAAUUAACAAAAUAAAUAAAUAAAUAAUUAAAUCAUAAAUAAAUUUUACUAAAAAAUUGAUUUUUUAAGUUUGAAACUUGUUUUCUUAAUUUUGAAAUGUAUGAUACUUAUAUUUUUACUUAUGCAAUUUUCCCAUAAGUUUAUCAUUUUUUCAGGCGCACUUUAAUAUCCAAUUUUGUAUACGUUAGGAUUCGAUUAGCAACAACCUAAUUACAGUCAAGGUUAUAAAUGACGUUAGGCAUCGAGGCCAAGCCUCAAAUCUUACGAGCCAAGAAAUAGUAAAAUAUUUUUUUCUACUUUUAAUAUCAUUUUUAAUUAUUUUAUGCCAAUAAAUAAAAAAAUAGUGCAUACCUUGAAAGUUUAUGAAUAAUUCAAUUUAUUUUCAUUAGAUAUGAUCGCCAAUCUAUGUAUCAAGUGAUGCGCUAUGAAACAAAGGUCAAUGAAAUGCACGAAUAUGAAACUCAAUUUUUUAAGUUAUCAUUUAGUGUCAUAUCCCAUGAUGAUAUCUCUAAUGAAGACAUAGUAUUACUUAAAAUGUAUCUUAGUUGGCCACAAUGAUUUGGUUUAUGGCUUUCAGCUGAAAAGGGAAACGAAUUUUAGGCUUAAAACUGUCACAUGAAACGGGCUUGCAAAUGUUGAGAGUUGGCUUUUGUUUUGUAAAGAAGAAGAAGGAUGAAAAAACAUUAAGAAAAUGGAUGUUAAAGUUGCCAUUAGGUUUGUUCAUGGAAUGUUAGUUGAUAUAAAGUCUUUGAUUGGUGGAAAUUAAAAUUAGAUUUUUAGUAAAUUUUGAUAAGAGUUGAUAAAAUGUGUGAUUGAAAAUUUGUGGCUUCUAUGAGAUAUAUGUUUAAAAUUAAUUGUUGACUUGGAUUUAAAUUAAAAUUUUAAUUUUAACUUCUAUCAAAUAGGAGCAAAGUAAGAAAAUGGUUGUUAAAUGCAUCAAAAACCAUCUUGUUGUAAAGUCAAUUGGGUAGAAAGUGAAUUGCAGUGCACCAACAUACAAAAUAAACAAUUAUAUAUAUGUAGCACAACCGAUAAAAGUAUAUAAUGCUAUGAAAUUGGUACAAUACACACACACACACACACACAUAUAAAAUCCUAUUCUAGGCAAGUUAAAAGUUGAAUAAUAGAAAACAAGGAAUUAGGAACUAAUUUACAUACAUAAGGAAAGAAAUAAUAGAUUAUGCAAAGGAAUGUGAGUAAUUGCCUAUGCACUAAAAGAGAAAAUCAUAACUUUGGGGAUUUUCUUUAUCAUGCUUUUGUACGAUGAAGCAUCGUGAGGAGAUUCCGUUCUUGUCCUUCAAGAGUAGAAAAUGAGCACAUGAAAGUGGUUUGGUAAGGGUAUACGCCUACUGAUCUGUAGAAGAGAGAUGUGAGCCACUCGAAGAGUGCCAAUUUAAACUUGUUCACGAAUGAAAUGAUGGUCUAAAGCCACAUUUUCAUGCGAGCGUGAAAAACUAGAUUGGAAUAUAAAAUCGUAGCACAACAUUAUCACAAUAGAUUAUAGUUUGCUGCAGAAGAGAAAUACCUAAUUCAUUGAGAAUAGAGCAUAUCCAAAUGAGUUCAGGUACAGUAGUUGCAAAAGAGCGAUUUCGACCUCGGUAGACGAGUGAACCAUAGUGUGUUGCUUCUUAGAUCUCCAAAAAAUAGGAUUGCAACCAAGUAAAAUAAGAUAGGCACUAGAAGAGAUAAUCAUCCUUAUUGCAUGCUUAAUCUGCGUCGAAAAAUGCAUGGAGAGAUGGGAUGUAUAAAGAUAGAGAACAACAUCAUGAUCCAUGGUCUUACAGAGAUAGCGUAGUAGUCACUUAACAGCACUCCAGUGGUCACUAGAAGGUUGAUACAUAAAUUGAGAUAGCUUAUUCACCAUAUAAGCAACGUCAAGGUGUGUAAAUGAUAGAUGCUGGAGACUUCCAACAAUGGUAUGAUACCCUGUGGGAUUAGAGAGUACCAUGUUAGAGAUAAGAUUUAGUACAUGAGUAGUGGCAAUGGGUGUGGCAAUAGGAUUUGCAUUUGUCAUGUAUGUUGGAACAAGAUGAUCUUUUAUGUAUUGGCAUUGAGAUAGAAAUAAGCCUCACGAAUGGUGAAUCAUUUCAACUCCAAGAAAGUAAGCCAGUGGUCCAAGGUACUUGAGGAAAAUUGACUAGUAAGGAGCUGAAUGAAUUUUUAUAUAGCCCCUAACACUGUCACCUAUAACAAUGAUGUCGUCAACAUAAAACAAGAGUCAAAUCAUAGUACUAUCUUUGUUAGAGAUCUGCAUGAGAGUUGGUAAAGCCUGAGAUGACAAGAAUUAGUGCAACUUAUGAUACUAGGCUCAGGGAGCCUGUUUAAGACCAUAAAUAGCUUUGCUAAGUUUGCAAACAUGAAGAGGAUGAUCAUGAUCAAUGAAUCCUCGUGGUUGAGUCAUGUAUUCAUCUUCAAAAAAAGUACAUUGGAGAAAGGUAUUAUUGUUGCCUAAGAUACCACCCACGACUGAAAGCAAGACUAAGAGCUAGUCAAAACUUCACGUUGGACUAAAAAUGUUGUGAUAGUCACUCCUGAACACUGAUAAAACCCCUGUACAAAUAAGCAAGCUUUGUAACUAUCAAUAGAUCCAUCAAAUAAAUGCCUAGGGCAAAAAAAUUCAUUUGAAACAUACUCAUCGGAUAUUGCCUCACGCUAAUUGGGAUCCUUGAUGAUUUGAUUCACUGAUGCGCGUUCAAUAUCAUUAGAAGUAGCAAGAUGAGCAGUUACGUUCAAUUUAUCAAUUGGACCAUGGAUGUUGUUUUUAGAUCGAGUGAUAAUAAUUUGGGAAGGAGAGGCUAAAGUAGUGGAAGAGAAGUUGGUUGGUUCAGAUGAAGGGGUAUUUAAUGGAGGUGGGAUAGAUGUAGGCCUAAAUGAAUGUGAUAUAUUGUGUGGGGAUGGUUGAGCCACGGUAUUGGAACUUGGGCUUGAAAGGUCAUGGCAUGUGAAGGGUGGCACUGUAGCACUAUUAUUUGGAUUUGGAGACAUGGUGAGAUGAGAAGGGAAAGGGUUUUGGUGCAGAGGGUUAUAGGUGUUGAGGCCAUGGAUGAUGCGUUGGUAACUGGGAGGAAGGAUACAGAGGGACACUAAUCGGAUAUUGAUGUAGAUAAAGGACAGUCAAGACGAGUCUUAAGUGAAGUGAAAGGAAAGUGGACUCUAAAAUUGACAUAGUGUGAUAUAUAGAUGCGAGCGGAUGUAGGUUCAAGGCAUAGAUAAAUACUUUGAGUGGAAGAGUAAUCGAUAAAAACACAAGAAGAUGAAUGAAGAGCAAGUUUGUUAAACAAAUAAGGUCAGAGUCAUGUAUAACAAAGACAACCAAAACUAUGGAGUUUGGAGCAGUUUGGUGGGACACCAAAAAGUUUAGCCUAUGGGACAAAAAGUGAAGUGUAGGGAUGGGUAGACGGUUGAUGAGAUAAAUAGCAAUAGUGAAUUCAUAGGACCAAUAAGAAAGAGGCAUAGAUGCAUGAGAGCGGAGAGAUAGACCAAUUUCAACAAUAUGGCAAUGACGACAUUUAGAAUAGCUAUUGUGUUUUGGUAUGUAAAGAGGGGAUACUAUAUAAGUAAGAGAUAUCAUUGGUAGUUAGGAAGGAAGAGAGGCUUCAGGAGCGAAGCCAGGAAAUGAUUUUUGUGUGGGCUAAAAAUUAAAAAUGUUAAAUAAAUUCAACUACAAGAAAUCAAGUUUAGGAGAUUACGAUCAUUAUAUUCAUGACAAAUAAUAUUGGGCACUCAAUGAAAUACUAGUAUAGAUUCUCACUCUAAAAUGUCUCACUAGAUAUUAGUACUUUUUCUUGCGAAAUAUGAAAUCGACGCUCAUCUUAGAAAGUAUAAACUGAUAGAAACAAAUAAACAUAGGCAAAUGAUAUAUAUCCACCAAUCAAAAACUAAAAAAGUACUUAGGAAUUUUAUCCAUGUUUGAUUUAGCUUCUAUUAUAUACAUAUGAUCUUAUUAUUUAUAAAUAAAUUACUUAUUUUGAUAAUAAGAUUAAUUUCAUGGUCAAAACAAAUAAAUUUCUUUCUUAUAAGUAUGAAUAAGUUAUAUAUGAAAAUAUUUUUAAAAUUUACUUUAAGCUUAACCAAUCAUUUAAUAUCUCUUAAUAUUGAAAUAAAUAAUUUAUUUUAGCUCUAAUCAAUACAAUUUUAUUUAUUAUAAAAGUUUAUAUAUAAUUACAAGUAAAAUAUGCACUAAAUAAUAAAUUAAUUUGUUUAUAAAAUUGUUUACAUUUCAUUAGUAUCAUAAAAGAAUAGUUGAAUAAUUGGACUUGGGCUGUGACACAAUAUGAAACUGGGCUAAACAUAGAUAUUUGGGACAAUUCAACUAUAAAAUUCCUUUUCUCUUUCCAUGUGGGUUGGGGCAUAGCCCAUCCCAGUCCAAGCCCCUGCUAGAUUCUCCUCUGAGAAGUUUGAUAUUCUCCCGCAUUAUCUGAAUAAAGUGUGAUGAUUUUCUUAUUAAAGAAGUUUUUGACAAGUGAUUUAAAUCGAACAAAUACAUCAUAAGCAUGUGACUUUUGUUUGAGUGGGUAAAACCAUAUAUAUUUGUAAAGUGGUCAACGAAAAUACAUAAUACUUGAAGUCAUCAACGGAGUGAAUGGGAAAGGCCCACACAUAUAAAAAAAUGACAAUUUCAAGAGGAGAUGAAGUAACAAGAGAAGAAAUUGAGAAAGGUAAUUUGUGGCUUUUAUUGCAUUGACACAAGUUAACAUUUGAAUGUAAAGGACUUGGCAAUUCUAGAUGAAAUUUGGAGACAACGUGCCUAAAAAUUGAAGACGACGGAUGUCCUAGUCUAUGAUGCCGCUCGGACGAAGUGAUCUUGACUUUUGAGAAAUCCACUAAUGGAGAAGAUUUGACAAAGGAAGUUGGCCACUCAUACACACCAUCUUAGUCAGACCAUGCAAAAUCCUUGAAUUCAAUCACCCUCUCUCUUCAUAAUUUGAUACCAGUCGAGCAUCCUUUUCUUUAAUCAUCAAUAUCUUCACUUGGCACAGAUAAUUUCUCCUUCUCUACAUAUCCACAACUUGUCCAAUUGUCUUUGCUCUUGUGAUUCUUCUCACUGUUGAGCAAUAACUUUGAUUUUAGUGUACAUGUUCCUUACCUUAGGAGUUGAUGAUGACAUCUUAUUGAACUCAUCUUGAUUCAAGAACGAGUUUGAUGAGAUACGCGGAACAAAGAUUAGCAAGGACAAGGAAUUGUUGAUUGUCGAGGAAGGACCAAUGAAUAUGUCACGAACAAAGAAGAUCAAAGAAGCCACGUGAUUACAUGUUCAAGCUACGUUGGAUGAAGCAUCGAUCGCAACAAGUAAUAGGAUAAGUUUCAUGUUGGACAUGGAAGAAGAAAAAUGAUGGAUCAACUUGCUUCAAGCAGCAUGCUGCCGCAUAGCACAACUAGGCAUGUGACCGCAUGCUUCCAUACCGAGAGCAAGAGGAAGGUCAGGAAGUAGCCUAUGUGACCACACUCUUCAACAUUAUGCAGCCACAGAGUAUAGAAUUUAGAUGCGAAUUUUUCAAAUUUCACGUAAUCUUCUAUGUUAGUUAAAACUCUAUUUUAUGCUGUCUUUUGGUAUAUGUAGACUUUAUUUCAGUUUUAAUUAGAUUUUAUGAGUUACCCAUAAAUAGGACUUAUUCUUUUCAUUGUAAAAUACAUAAUUUUGAGAGAUAUUAUUACAAGGUAUAAUUGCUUUCUACGUUCAUUGAAUUAAUUUUCAAACAUAUCAAAAAUUAAUUUCUUGUGGUGUUCAACAGCUCACGAGUAGAAAGCAAUUAUACCUUGUAAUAACAUCUCUCAAAAUUAUGUAUUUUAUAAUGAAAAGGAUGAGUCUUAUUUAUGGUUAACUCAUAAAAUCUAAUUAAAACGGAAAUAAAGUCUAAAAAUACCGAAAGAUACCAUAAAAUAGAGUUUUAACACAUAAUAGGCACUAAUCUAAAUUCAAGAUCGUGUAGCCCCAUGUGUAUUCAAGCCUUUACGGUCAAGCUGUGCCAAGCUUGGCUUUAGAGGUGGACUCGCCUAUGAUAGUCGAGUUGGGACAAUAUGCCAUAUUUUGACACUUUUAUAUAAUAGCAAAUACAUAGUAAUAGAAUAUAUCUAAGUCAGUUGAAAUUAAAUUAGAAGAAAAAAAUGUGGACAGUAUGAUAAUCAAUAAAUAUAUAUAUUCAAUUUACAGUAAAAUAUAUGGAGUCUUUUCUACUCUUCUAAUCUACUAAAAACUAAAUGAGAGCAAUUUAUCAAUAAGUUCAUCAUCGAUGUCUUAAGAAGAGACGAAGUUAACACGAUUAACUGGGAUUUGAACUAACUCUCGAGCUACAUCCUUCAAUUCAAGCAUCCCUCCAUCUUUAAAUUUUGAUAGCAAUCGAGCAGCCUCUUCUUUAGUCAUCAAUAUCUUCACUUUAGUCCUAGAUAAUUUCUCCUUCUCGACAUGUCCACAACUAGUCAAGUUGUUUCUACUCUCGUGAUUCUUCUCACUUUCUUCUCUUUCAAGCAAUGGCUUUGGUUCAAUUUCGAAGUGUACUUUUUUUCUCACCUUAAGAGCCAAUGGCUUCUUGUUCAACUCAUCUCUAUAAAUAUAGUUUGGCACUUCUGGUUUUUUACAAAAUUGAAUUUCAGACAUUUUUUUAUGAGGUGAAGGAGUGAAGAAAGAGAGAAUAUUCAAUGGAGGAUGUGUAGAAAUAUGUACUAUGAGUCUAUUUAUAUAAUUUCGUGGUGGGACUAUGGCAUGGAGUGCAAUUUGGGAGUGUGGACCUAGUCUUUGAUGUUGUUUCAGUCUAUUAUCUUAUGGAAGUUAACCUUAGAAAAAACCUAGAACUCACGCAAGAGAAUAGGUAAACAAGAAAAAAUUGAAAGCUCCAGUUCUGGUAGACUUUGUAGACUUAAAUCCGCUCUUAGGUCUUCGUUGAUCACUUCUGCUUAAUUAAAGGACUUUUC